GGUUAACCGUAUAGGGGAGCCGCAGGGAAACCGAGUCUUAACUGGGCGUUAAGUUGCAGGGUAUAGACCCGAAACCCGGUGAUCUAGCCAUGGGCAGGUUGAAGGUUGGGUAACACUAACUGGAGGACCGAACCGACUAAUGUUGAAAAAUUAGCGGAUGACUUGUGGCUGGGGGUGAAAGGCCAAUCAAACCGGGAGAUAGCUGGUUCUCCCCGAAAGCUAUUUAGGUAGCGCCUCGUGAACUCAUCUUCGGGGGUAGAGCACUGUUUCGGCUAGGGGGUCAUCCCGACUUACCAACCCGAUGCAAACUACGAAUACCGAAGAAUGUUAUCACGGGAGACACACGGCGGGUGCUAACGUCCGUCGUGAAGAGGGAAACAACCCAGACCGCCAGCUAAGGUCCCAAAGUCAUGGUUAAGUGGGAAACGAUGUGGGAAGGCACAGACAGCCAGGAUGUUGGCUUAGAAGCAGCCAUCAUUUAAAGAAAGCGUAAUAGCUCACUGGUCGAGUCGGCCUGCGCGGAAGAUGUAACGGGGCUAAACCAUGCACCGAAGCUGCGGCAGCGACACUAUGUGUUGUUGGGUAGGGGAGCGUUCUGUAAGCCUGCGAAGGUGUGCUGUGAGGCAUGCUGGAGGUAUCAGAAGUGCGAAUGCUGACAUAAGUAACGAUAAAGCGGGUGAAAAGCCCGCUCGCCGGAAGACCAAGGGUUCCUGUCCAACGUUAAUCGGGGCAGGGUGAGUCGACCCCUAAGGCGAGGCCGAAAGGCGUAGUCGAUGGGAAACAGGUUAAUAUUCCUGUACUUGGUGUUACUGCGAAGGGGGGACGGAGAAGGCUAUGUUAGCCGGGCGACGGUUGUCCCGGUUUAAGCAUGUAGGCUGGUUGUCCAGGCAAAUCCGGAUAACCAAGGCUGAGGUGUGAUGACGAGGCACUACGGUGCUGAAGUAACAAAUGCCCUGCUUCCAGGA
This 965-nucleotide ribosomal RNA is filed under the name Klebsiella pneumoniae. RNAcentral's name for it is "partial 23S ribosomal RNA". It matches the Rfam family "Bacterial large subunit ribosomal RNA", at positions 644 to 1613 of the family's 2925-position model. The record is from RNAcentral. Lineage: Bacteria; Pseudomonadati; Pseudomonadota; Gammaproteobacteria; Enterobacterales; Enterobacteriaceae.